This 253-nucleotide ribosomal RNA is filed under the name uncultured bacterium. RNAcentral's name for it is "partial 16S ribosomal RNA". It matches the Rfam family "Bacterial small subunit ribosomal RNA", at positions 524 to 776 of the family's 1533-position model. The record is from RNAcentral.
UACGUAGGGUGCAAGCGUUAAUCGGAAUUACUGGGCGUAAAGGGCGCGUAGGCGGCCUUCUAAGUCAGACGUGAAAUCCCCAGGCUUAACUUGGGAACUGCGUCUGAUACUGGGAGGCUUGAGUGCGGGAGAGGGAUGUGGAAUUCCAGGUGUAGCGGUGAAAUGCGUAGAUAUCUGGGGGAACACCGGUGGCGAAGGCGGCAUCCUGGACCGACACUGACGCUGAGGCGCGAAAGCUAGGGGAGCAAACGGG